This 496-nucleotide ribosomal RNA is filed under the name uncultured bacterium. RNAcentral describes it as "partial 16S ribosomal RNA". It matches the Rfam family "Bacterial small subunit ribosomal RNA", at positions 28 to 506 of the family's 1533-position model. The record is from RNAcentral.
GAUGAACGCUGGCGGCGUGCCUAAUACAUGCAAGUCGAGCGAACGGACGAGAAGCUUGCUUCUCUGAUGUUAGCGGCGGACGGGUGAGUAACACGUGGAUAACCUACCUAUAAGACUGGGAUAACUUCGGGAAACCGUAGCUAAUACCGGAUAAUAUUUUGAACCGCAUGGUUCAAAAGUGAAAGACGGUCUUGCUGUCACUUAUAGAUGGAUCCGCGCUGCAUUAGCUAGUUGGUAAGGUAACGGCUUACCAAGGCAACGAUGCAUAGCCGACCUGAGAGGGUGAUCGGCCACACUGGAACUGAGACACGGUCCAGACUCCUACGGGAGGCAGCAGUAGGGAAUCUGCCGCAAUGGGCGAAAGCCUGACGGAGCAACGCCGCGUGAGUGAUGAAGGUCUUCGGAUCGUAAAACUCUGUUAUUAGGGAAGAACAUAUGUGUAAGUAACUGUGCACAUCUUGACGGUACCGAAUCAGAAAGCCACGGCUAACUACGU